Long non-coding RNA from Alligator sinensis (Chinese alligator), 457 nucleotides. RefSeq lists it as uncharacterized. The record is from RefSeq and is a predicted model, not a curated record. NCBI's taxonomy places the organism in Eukaryota, Metazoa, Chordata, Crocodylia, Alligatoridae. The transcript has 3 exons.
AUUGUUUCAUGAAAGUUACUGCAGAAUUUGUGCCAAAACAGUAGUUGUUUGGCAGGAUUUGAUUUGAUUUUGCUUUAUUUAUUUUAAUAAAGAAUCCCUCAUCAUUAAGAUAAACGUGAGAAUACCCUGAGUGUAAACAGUGACCAUGUUGUGUGCUCCUGAAUCUGCCAGUAACCUAAAACAAAACAGUUUAAAGGUGCUGAGGUAUGGCUUCGCAUAUGGGUUUGCCUUGGGGGGAACCUCAACCCCAAGAUGACUUCCAGCAAGGAUACCACAAGCUAAUGAUUUGUGCUUCCAGGAAACAACCAGUGUCUUUGCUGCUCCUGCACACAGACAAAGCUGCAGUAACACCCGCAUCCAGAGAGGCACAUCUGUUUCUCUCUGGUUCCUGUAGAUGUCAAAUGUUUCGACUUACAACACUUGAUCCGAUGCAAUGCCAUGCCAGCAAACAAGUUUG